CUUAAACUCUGGUGAAAACAGAAAAUUAUUGUCAGUGAACAUCUACUAAAUACAGACAGGUCCUGGACUUUGGUUUCUCUUCUGGUAAAGUGAGAACAGUGUCUCCCAUUAGCCAAAAUAAGCAGAGGUCAGUGAAAUAACAAUGUAACACCAAGACAUGGUGCACUUCUCAGGUGAAAACUUUUAUGCUGGGUCUUCUUUAAAGAAGGAGUACUCGAGGACUCUGUGAAUUGAAAACGAACAUCUGUUUGAACCUGUUUUUGUGUAAAGCCAGGAUCCUGGGAAGGAGUGGGAUGGAGAGAAGUGAUCAAGAGAACUGGACUGAGAGUGGAAAGCACAGAUGAAAAACCAGAGCCUCGGUAAACUGCUAGGUGAUUAUCUGAAGCGGGUUCUCAAUUAAUGG
Molecule: long non-coding RNA, 403 nt
Filed under: Homo sapiens (human)
Lineage: Eukaryota; Metazoa; Chordata; Mammalia; Primates; Hominidae
Description: HSALNT0057535
Source: RNAcentral